AUUGAACGCUGGCGGCAUGCUUUACACAUGCGAGUCGAACGGUAACAGGCCGCAAGGUGCUGACGAGUGGCGAACGGGUGAGUAAUGCAUCGGAACGUGCCCAGUCGUGGGGGAUAACUACUCGAAAGAGUAGCUAAUACCACAUACGAUCUAUGGAUGAAAGCGGGGGACCGUAAGGCCUCGCGCGAUUGGAGCGGCCGAUGUCAGAUUAGGUAGUUGGUGGGGUAAAGGCUCACCAAGCCAACGAUCUGUAGCUGGUCUGAGAGGACGACCAGCCACACUGGGACUGAGACACGGCCCAGACUCCUACGGGAGGCAGCAGUGGGGAAUUUUGGACAAUGGGCGCAAGCCUGAUCCAGCAAUGCCGCGUGCAGGAAGAAGGCCUUCGGGUUGUAAACUGCUUUUGUACGGAACGAAACGGCUCUGGUUAAUACCCGGGGCUAAUGACGGUACCGUAAGAAUAAGCACCGGCUAACUACGUG
This 482-nucleotide ribosomal RNA is filed under the name uncultured bacterium. RNAcentral's name for it is "partial 16S ribosomal RNA". It matches the Rfam family "Bacterial small subunit ribosomal RNA", at positions 30 to 507 of the family's 1533-position model. The record is from RNAcentral.